UACGUAGGGGGCUAGCGUUGUCCGGAAUCAUUGGGCGUAAAGCGCGUGUAGGCGGCCCGGUAAGUCCGCUGUGAAAGUCGGGGGCUCAACCCUCGGAUGCCGGUGGAUACUGUCGGGCUCGAGUACGGAAGAGGCGAGUGGAAUUCCUGGUGUAGCGGUGAAAUGCGCAGAUAUCAGGAGGAACACCAAUUGCGAAGGCAGUUCGCUGGGACGUAACUGACGCUGAGACGCGAAAGCGUGGGGAGCAAACAGG
RNAcentral lists this ribosomal RNA (253 nucleotides) under uncultured bacterium. RNAcentral's name for it is "partial 16S ribosomal RNA". It matches the Rfam family "Bacterial small subunit ribosomal RNA", at positions 524 to 776 of the family's 1533-position model. The record is from RNAcentral.